RNAcentral lists this non-coding RNA (121 nucleotides) under Dickeya dadantii 3937. The record is from RNAcentral. Lineage: Bacteria; Pseudomonadati; Pseudomonadota; Gammaproteobacteria; Enterobacterales; Pectobacteriaceae.
GCGUUCCGGGAAAGCCAAAUGAAUCCAUCCUUGUGACUCAUCGCGGUUUUGCUGUGAAGGCACGACAUUGCUCACAUUGCUUCCAGUAUUACUUAGCCAGCUCGGGUGCUGGCUUUUUUUU